Molecule: long non-coding RNA, 1271 nt
Filed under: Gallus gallus (chicken)
Lineage: Eukaryota; Metazoa; Chordata; Aves; Galliformes; Phasianidae
Description: long non-coding RNA NONGGAT011995
Source: RNAcentral
CAGCCUCUGAGUUUGGGCUUUAUUUGUUUGUUUGUUUGUUUGUUUGCAUAUUUCUGUGAUGCCCAUCAGAUGUCCCGGUAUAGGUGUCACUGCAAAUUGCCACCAGUGUAGGAGAGAGCAAGGAGCUGAUUGCACAGAGUGGUCAGGGUUCCUACUGGGCUGUAUUACACUUCCUCUGCUUCUUCAUUAUCUCUCAGGCUGCUCAGGCACAAGUGGGACAUCUGGAAGCAUAUGAUCAUUUCGAUAUUAUAUAAAAUUCGAAUGAGGUUGUUUUUUUUUUUUUCUUUCUGAACAGAUAGAAAAGUGUUUUUUGUUGUUGUUGUUUUUCUUUUUGUGGCAACAUCCAGAGGCAGCAGCAUCAGUGAUCAAACGUAUGUGGAUGUGUUGCACACAACAGGACUGUGAGCUCGUGCAUUGAAUUCUUCCAGUGAGAGACAUGAUGGUUCAGGUCUCCAGAUGGCUGUGACGUAAAGAAGAAGCAUCCUGCACGGAUUUCUUAAGAACAAACAGUCCCUAUUUGCCUUAAAGAGGAAUGCUCACGACGCUCCAAUUAACGCAAUCAGAGCCGGGCUCCGUGCCGGCACUCCGCCUUCCGCGCAGGAACCACGGGAGGAGGUGCAGCACGGCACAAACCCCAUUCCACACUACGGCCGAGCAGAAUUCACGCGGAGAGGAACCACGACGCGGCAGCUCGCGGCGGGCAGCGCUCCCGCAGCGUCCCGCUCCCGCAGCCAGGAGAGCCGCUUCCCAUAGAGCUGCCCUUAUCGUCCCUCUGGUGACCGCGGUGCCGCCGUACUGGCAACCCGGCGGUACUGCUGCUGGCAUGCAAGGGGAUGUCAGCACGAAUCCGAACUGUGCAAUAAGAGCAGGAGAACUAUCGAGAAUACAGCAUCUCAAGGAAAAACAAAUGAAACACGUACUCGGUCAGUAAUCACACACGGAAGCAACGCGCGCCGCUAAGCACCACGUAUUUAUAACAUCUAUAUGUAACACAUAGAGCACCAUCCGGCUUUAAUAAGGAAAAACAAAUUACCGUGUCGUGCCUUGGAUGUCAUUCCCUGUGCUCUGUCUGCGUUGUUUAAAUCUGAAAAACAGCCACAAAAAGAAGCAAAGCGUCAUGAUUUAAAUAUCUUUACUGUUUGGUUCUUGUUCAUUAAGUGUAUGUGCACAGACGGGUGUAUAGGUGCUCGGGUCUAGAUCACUCAUAUCUGAGGUGGUUCCUUCAAUAAGCCCCAUAGGUGAUAGUCACGGACAGGCUCGGCUCCGGGUUA